RNAcentral lists this ribosomal RNA (466 nucleotides) under uncultured bacterium. Its description in RNAcentral is "partial 16S ribosomal RNA". It matches the Rfam family "Bacterial small subunit ribosomal RNA", at positions 29 to 507 of the family's 1533-position model. The record is from RNAcentral.
ACGAACGCUGGCGGCGUGCUUAACACAUGCAAGUCGAACGGUGAAGCAGAGCUUGCUCUGUGGAUCAGUGGCGAACGGGUGAGUAACACGUGAGUAACCUGCCCUUGACUCUGGGAUAAGCGUUGGAAACGACGUCUAAUACCGGAUACGAGCUGAGACCGCAUGGUCAUCAGUUGGAAAGAUUUUUUGGUCAAGGAUGGACUCGCGGCCUAUCAGCUUGUUGGUGAGGUAAUGGCUCACCAAGGCGACGACGGGUAGCCGGCCUGAGAGGGUGACCGGCCACACUGGGACUGAGACACGGCCCAGACUCCUACGGGAGGCAGCAGUGGGGAAUAUUGCACAAUGGGCGCAAGCCUGAUGCAGCAACGCCGCGUGAGGGAUGACGGCCUUCGGGUUGUAAACCUCUUUUAGUAGGGAAGAAGCGAAAGUGACGGUACCUGCAGAAAAAGCACCGGCUAACUACGUG